UAUCCCAUUUUGUUCUUAUAUCUAAGAAACUUUGCUUUGAGAGAUUCAAAUACUCGACCUGCACCUGUUAAGCCAUACCUGGUUUUAUAAAAAAACACUGGUUGCUUACAUAAAAAGGAUUUGAGCUCACAAAUUAACUAAAAACACAAAAACUUUACAUUUGGAGAGCCACUAAAACAGUUUAAAUCGUAAAAUGGAGCGCUGGAACGUGAACUAGUAAUGGUUAUAAACUCACUCGAAGCGCACCAGUCUAAUCCGCCUGUUAAAUUUCUCUCCUGGUAUUGGCUAACGGGAAACUGUUUUGACGACACAGAAGCGGAAAACGCCACGGCGCGUUGAUAACAAAAUUGGAAUAGCCUUAAAAGUUGACGCCUCACAAAUGGGAACCAGAUAAAAGAGGAAAAUACUAAGUACAAUAAUAACACAAAGAACACGUCGACGUAUAUACUUACAUAUGGAGUGCGAUAUGGACAGAAACGCAAUGGCAACAACAACAACAUAGGGUUUAAGCAAUUUUAGCUACAAAUACAAUUAGAUUGCAACUAACGCUAAGCUAAGCGCUACUAUUUAAGUAAUGUCAGUGCUACGAAAUGGGAAUGAGAGCACAAAUUGGCGCUCGUGCAUGCGAAGCCAAUUGUUGUCGAAAAAAAAAAAAAAAAUAUUUACUGUGUAGGCGCUGAGUUUGAUGUGGUUUGGAAAAAAAAAAACAAAGCUUGGCGUCAUUAAAUGUCAGGAGCGAACAGCUGAUCGAUGGCCUAAGGGGCAAAUUACUUUUGGGGGUGUAAAAUGCCUACAUUGUGUGAUUGCGGAAGAAGAAGAAGAAUAUACAAUUACAAAAAAAAAAAUUAAAUGGCAUACAAAACAAGAAAUAUAUAAUAUGAACGGGUAGCGCUAGAAGAGCAUAAGGAGGAAAAAUUACACAGCAACUGCUUUCAGAGCUAUAUUCAUAAAGGUUGGCCAAAGUGAAAUUCUUCCCCGCCUCUAAUACCCCGGAUGACGACCUGGAGGAAUUAGUGGACGAUAAAAAGAAGCUGCGCAACCAUCUGCGGUUGUCUGAGACGAACGCAGAUUCCGAGAAAAGGGAGCAGUCGUAAAGGUACGCAACUCUUUUGAGCAGUUUGUUAAAAGUAAUUCAAAUUAACCUUCAUCACUCUAAACUAACCACCGAUAACCUACGAGUCAUCCUCCGUGAGGAGGAGAUCGAUG
This is a long non-coding RNA of Anastrepha ludens (Mexican fruit fly), 1206 nucleotides long. RefSeq lists it as uncharacterized. The transcript is spliced from 3 exons. The record is from RefSeq and is a predicted model, not a curated record. Lineage: Eukaryota; Metazoa; Arthropoda; Insecta; Diptera; Tephritidae.